Molecule: ribosomal RNA, 253 nt
Filed under: uncultured bacterium
Lineage: Bacteria
Description: partial 16S ribosomal RNA
Rfam family: Bacterial small subunit ribosomal RNA
Source: RNAcentral
UACGUAGGUGGCAAGCGUUGUUCGGAAUUAUUGGGCGUAAAGGGCGCGUAGGCGGUUUGUUAAGUCGGCUGUGAAAGCCCGGGGCUCAACCCCGGAGGGUCAGCCGAUACUGGCAGACUAGAGUACGGAAGAGGUAGCUGGAAUUCCCGGUGUAGCGGUGAAAUGCGUAGAGAUCCGGAAGAACACCGGUGGCGAAGGCGGCCUGCUGGGCAGUGGCUGACGCUGAGGCGCGACAGCGUGGGGAGCAAACAGG